RNAcentral lists this unclassified non-coding RNA (149 nucleotides) under uncultured Ascomycota. RNAcentral describes it as "sequence contains ITS2". The record is from RNAcentral. Lineage: Eukaryota; Fungi; Ascomycota.
AGACCACACUUGGGCUUCUGUCCAGCGUUGGGGAUCCGCCCAGGCGGUCCCUUAAAUUCACCGGCGGAGUCGCGGUGGCCUCUAAGCGUAGUACUUGCUCUCGCUUCUGACGGCGCCGCGCCCCCUGCCGUAAAACCCCCAAUUUUUCU